CAGGGCUUACCGUUAGCUGUUUAACUUUAAUAACUAAUUGAUUCAAACGGUCCAUGAAUUUUUUUUUUUUUUUUUUUUUCAGCAGGUAUCCUAGUUACAACAUGACUGAGCUAACUGGAGAGCCAUCCAAAAUCAUUUGGCGACACUGGCAAGCAUGGUGAUACUGCUGGAGACGGAUGUCACUCUCUUCUGCAUCAUGUAAAAAUGAGAGUGGAGUAAAAAAAUAGGAAUAUGUCUCGAUGAAGAUGAGAUUUAAAGCAAUAUUAUAAUAGCCAAAUUCGCUGAAAUAUUGACCUGUAUGAACAAAGAGACAGCAAAGAACUAGGAAACACAAUGUAUAAGGUCCUAAGCAUAAGACCAAAACGUUAGAACUAGGUGGGAAAUAAGAUAAGAAUGGUGAAACUGUGGUAAACAAAUUCAUGGAAACAUAUUCUGGUUUCAAAGUGUAACGCUAUGAAAAACAUUGCGGUUUAUAUCUCACAACUCUAGAAAUUUAAGGUGUACUUCGCGUACUAUGCCUAUUUUCAUUUUUUAAUUUAGUGUCUUUCGAUGGAAUAUUUUAUGAGAGAUGAGAUCACUGAAUUCAAUGAUGAACUGCCUUUAACUGUCAUUUGCAUUAUUGACCCACUGUUUUCCUAAUGAAUGUUGUUCAGUUGCUUUGACGCGAUGUAUUUUGUUUAAAGCACUAUAUAAAUAAAGGUGACUUGACUUGAUAUUUAAGCUAAACAAACGACAAAGGAUCGGUGCAUAAAACUGUGACCACAAACAUCAAUAACUUAAAUGAACAAAAGACAAUAACCGCCAAUAUUUUUUGAGACAUAACUGUGAGAUGACUUAAGGAGCCUAUGAAUCGGUUAAUUGAAACGAACUAUUCAAAUUAAUCAUUUUUCAGAAGUGAAUCGGACUUUGCAUCAGUAAAUGGGAUCACAAAAAAGGGGUUUGUAUAAAGUUUGAGCAUGCGUUUAAUCAGAUUUCCAAUGAUUUAGAGCACUGCCAUUAACAGUAUGAGUAUUUUGGGAUACGCAUCCACGACUGCCAUGUUUGAAGCCUGAGGUGUAUGUUGGGUAUUGUAGUUCCCUGACCUGAAGGUCAACAUAGCUUGAAUGAGGUGUUCAACUGAACCCCUUUUGUAAAAACAAAAACAAAAAUAAUUGUUAAAACAUAUUUAGACUAAUGAUUAUAAUCAAGAAUAAUACAAUGUACAUGUGCUAAAACAGGCAUGAAGUGUUGGUUGUCUUAUAAUGGAGCAACUGUUAUUACAGUAGGUGGACAAGCUAAAUGGGCUGGCCUCCACAAUCACCGGACCUGAACCCAAUCGAGAUGGUUUAGGGGUGAGCUGGACCGCAGACAGAAAGCAAAAGGGCCAACAAGUGCUAAGCAUCUCUCUGGGAACUGCUUCAAGACUGUUGGAAGACCAUUUCAGCUGACUAGCUCUUGAAGCUCAUCAAGAGAAUGCCAAGAGUGUGCAAAGCAGUAAUCAAAGCAAAAGGUGGCUACUUUGAAGAACCUAGAAUAUGACAUAUUUUCAGUUGUUUCACACUUUUUUGUUAUGUAUAUGAUUUAAUAUAUAAUUCCACAUGUGUUAAUUCAUAGUUUUGAUGCCUUCAGUGUGAAUCUACAAUUUUCAUAGUCAUGAAAAUAAAGAAAACUCUUUGAAUG
This 1659-nucleotide long non-coding RNA is filed under the name Carassius auratus (goldfish). RNAcentral describes it as "lncRNA (ENSCARG00000053477.1)". Lineage: Eukaryota; Metazoa; Chordata; Actinopteri; Cypriniformes; Cyprinidae. The record is from RNAcentral.